This is a long non-coding RNA of Dermacentor albipictus, 501 nucleotides long. RefSeq lists it as uncharacterized. Lineage: Eukaryota; Metazoa; Arthropoda; Arachnida; Ixodida; Ixodidae. The record is from RefSeq and is a predicted model, not a curated record.
CGUUGAGGCCAUGACGCUUCUGGAGACGCUUCCGGCGCUUGCAAGGGAGCCCACCCGUCACCUGGCUGAGUGAACAAAGAAGAAAGACAGCGCGUAAACCGGCUGUUGCAGGGUUCCACGAAAGGCCCUCAGCCCGCCCUUCACCUGGCAGGCUGAGCAAAGAACGGAGUGGCCAACGACAAACGAACCAGGCGUCGCCGGAUGGUUUCCUUCCACAGGUUCCAAACGAGUUUCGGCGAGGCGGAGUUACUGCGGGUUGUGGAGAGCAUAGGCGUGGUAUCGCAACGGACUCGACGAUGGUGAUUUGCUGCUGGACAGUCUUCAGAUUCCCGAGUCGACUCGCCUAGGGAAGACGAGAUUAAAAGCAGAUACUUUUCGGGAGUGAGGGCAGAGGGUCCUGAUGUGAACUGAGACGUUGAACUUGCUCCCACAUAGAGUUGGCGUUCCUACUAGAGCCGUGUAACAAAGCUAAAUAAACCCUUUUUUCUUCAUUUUCUACAA